RNAcentral lists this ribosomal RNA (268 nucleotides) under uncultured bacterium. Its description in RNAcentral is "partial 16S ribosomal RNA". It matches the Rfam family "Bacterial small subunit ribosomal RNA", at positions 333 to 593 of the family's 1533-position model. The record is from RNAcentral.
CGACGCCUACGGGAGGCAGCAGUAGGGAAUCUUCCACAAUGGACGAAAGUCUGAUGGAGCAACGCCGCGUGAGUGAAGAAGGGUUUCGGCUCGUAAAGCUCUGUUGGUAGUGAAGAAAGAUAGAGGUAGUAACUGGCCUUUAUUUGACGGUAAUUACUUAGAAAGUAACGGCUAACUACGUGCCAGCAGCCGCGGUAAUACGUAGGUGGCAAGCGGUGUCCGGAUUUAUUGGGCGUAAAGCGAGUGCAGGCGGUUCAAUAAGUAUGAU